RNAcentral lists this transfer RNA (60 nucleotides) under Metaperipatus inae. RNAcentral's name for it is "tRNA-Ser". The record is from RNAcentral. Lineage: Eukaryota; Metazoa; Onychophora; Udeonychophora; Euonychophora; Peripatopsidae.
UGUUUUGUCAUUAUUAAAUUAAUCUUUACUUAAACUUGACAAGUUUAUAUUAUAAAACUC